This 490-nucleotide ribosomal RNA is filed under the name uncultured bacterium. RNAcentral's name for it is "partial 16S ribosomal RNA". It matches the Rfam family "Bacterial small subunit ribosomal RNA", at positions 28 to 506 of the family's 1533-position model. The record is from RNAcentral.
GAUGAACGCUGUCUACAGGCUUAACACAUGCAAGUCGAGGGGAAACGACGGGGAAGCUUGCUUCCCCGGGCGUCGACCGGCGCACGGGUGAGUAACGCGUAUCCAACCUGCCUCUGACUGAGGGAUAACCCGUCGAAAGUCGGCCUAAUACCUCAUGGCAUCGUCUGCGGGCAUCCAACGACGAUUAAAGAUUUCAUCGGUCAGGGAUGGGGAUGCGUCUGAUUAGCUUGUUGGCGGGGUAACGGCCCACCAAGGCUACGAUCAGUAGGGGUUCUGAGAGGAAGGUCCCCCCCAUUGGAACUGAGACACGGUCCAAACUCCUACGGGAGGCAGCAGUGAGGAAUAUUGGUCAAUGGGCGGGAGCCUGAACCAGCCAAGUAGCGUGCAGGAUGACGGCCCUAUGGGUUGUAAACUGCUUUUAUGCGGGGAUAAAGUGAGGGACGUGUCCUUCAUUGCAGGUACCGCAUGAAUAAGGACCGGCUAAUUCCGU